This 499-nucleotide ribosomal RNA is filed under the name uncultured bacterium. Its description in RNAcentral is "partial 16S ribosomal RNA". It matches the Rfam family "Bacterial small subunit ribosomal RNA", at positions 28 to 507 of the family's 1533-position model. The record is from RNAcentral.
GACGAACGCUGGCGGCGUGCUUAACACAUGCAAGUCGAACGGGCCUGUCUUCUUUUUUGGGGGUGGGUUGAGUGGCGAACGGGUGAGUAUCACGUGAGUAACCUGCCCUUCGGUCCUGGAUAACCGCUUGAAAGGGCGGCUAAUACGGGGUGGUCCGGUUGGUCCGCAUGGGCUGGUCGGGAUAGAUUCACUGUUUUUGGUGUUUCGGCGGGGGAUGGGCUCGCGGCCUAUCAGCUUGUUGGUGGGGUGAUGGCCUACCAAGGCGGUGACGGGUAGCCGGCCUGAGAGGGUGGGCGGCCACACUGGGACUGAGAUACGGCCCAGACUCCUGCGGGAGGCAGCAGUGGGGGGUAUUGCACAAUGGGCGGAAGCCUGAUGCAGCGACGUCGCGUGAGGGAUGGAGGCCUUCGGGUUGUGAACCUCUGUUUCCGGUGGUGAAGGCCCUGUCCGUGUGGUGGGGUUGACGGAAGCCGGGGAUGAAGCGCCGGCUAACUACGUG